This 6717-nucleotide long non-coding RNA is filed under the name Homo sapiens (human). RNAcentral describes it as "HSALNT0328460". The record is from RNAcentral. Lineage: Eukaryota; Metazoa; Chordata; Mammalia; Primates; Hominidae.
UUAAAAUAUUUUACUAGAUUGUAUUUAUGGUUAACAGUAUCUUGCACUACAAUUUAUAUUUAGAUAAUCAUUCAUUUUAAAAUUAUUUAUUGAGCACCUACUAUGUGUUAGGUAUUAGGUACAGAGCAAUGAAUACAGCAAGCACAGUUCCUCACCUCGUGGACCUGACACUGUAGUGUGAGAGAUAAUAAGCAAAUGAUAUAAGGCCAUGCAGUAGUUAAAUGCUAUGAAGAAACAUAAAAUCUGGUACAGGGACAGAGAGUAGGGAGGGAGCUCUUGUUAUAAAGGGUGGCCAGGAAAGACCAAGUUGUGUAGCAGAGGCCUGAAGGAAGCCAGGGACCAAGCCAUAUGAAUUUUCUCAGAUAGGUGUAUUCUAGUUAUAGAGAACAGCAACUGGAACGGUCCUGAGAAGGGAACAUUCCUGGAACAUUCAAGAACUAGCCAAGAGAUCAGCAAGUCUAUAGUAAAAAGAAACAUAGUAGAUAGUCAUCUAGUGUUUUCUUCUCUUCCUUCCUAUUAUCUCUCAUACCAUGUCAUGUUACUUUUCUAAAGGAUCUCAAUGGGGAAGAGAACAUCAUUGUCUUUAAGAUUCAAUUUUUUGUGUAUUGAAAGUCUUCAUGGUCAUUCUUUUGAGAUCAUGACCUACUACAACGUCCCCAGGCCUGCAUCCUCCACAGGCUCCAUGAGCAGAAAAGCAGACGAAUAGAAGAGCAGAGGAACAGAAGAAUAGCAGUGUGGCCGAGCAGCGUGGUAGAGAAAGAGGGAAGAGAAGCAGCAUCUGAAUGUUGAGAGGAGUUUGGCUGGGGACAGUCGGAGAGGAGAUUGGCCGCAGGACGACCCAACUCCAGGGGAGGAACAUCUUCCUACUCCAUUCGCUUCCCCACUCCCCAGCCAUUCCACUGAGAGCCACCUCCAUCUGGCAAUAAAAUCUCUUGCAUUCACUAUCCUUCAAUUUGCCUGUGUGACCUGAUUCUUCCUGGAUGCUGGACAAGAACCCAGCAUCCAGGUACCAAGAGGGCACUGGGCUGGAUAACACUUGAGCUGUCUGUGGACGGCAGAGCUAAAAGAGCACUGUAACAUGCCCACUGGGGCUUUGGGAGUUGCAGGCACCCACCCUGGAUGCUACUACCAUGGGGCUGGAGCCCAAAAGUGUUUGCCCCGCCUCCUGCACCUGCCCGUCUGCAUGCUCCCCCUCCAGUAAGGGGUUUGAGUGCACAGAGGCUGAACAGAUGAGCCACACCCCUGUCACACAUCCUGUGAAGGGGGUUAGGAAACUCUCCCAUUUCAUCUUGACCAUCUUUGAGGGACUAUUGAUGCUUUUGGUAUCAGCAGCCACAGAAUUCAUCAGACACAGCACAAAAGAGCAGGAGAAGAGAUAAUGGCAGAUGCCAGAAGGUUGUCCAGCUGGUUACUACCUCUCCUCUUCACCUGAUUAUACCUGAUUACUGCUGACUCGAUGGGCAGGGAGAGUCGCUGACUCCUGACAGAAAGACUCUGUCACCCCUUGCCAUUUAUUUUAGAUCCUGUGAAUCCUACUGUCAAUGUUGUGACACCUGCAAUGCCUGGGAUGAAGCUGCCCAUGUGGUGAGAUGCAGCCUGUGGAAGCCUCUUUUCAGUGGAGUGAGAGCCAAGCCCCCUUGGCUUUUCAUAGACAAUUGGUGAACGGGACAAGGAGACACUGUCCUUGGAUGUCUGAAAAAAAAAGAAAAAGGUUGCAAAACAUGUUGCCAAUAAGAAUGUUGUAGAUGAAAGGCAGGAUGAAGGAAAGUGGUCUUAAUUUAAAUUCUCUAUUUUACUAAACCUACUCUUUAACAAAUAUGUUUAUGUGAGGCAUCAGAAGCAAAUGUAUUUUGGCUUUUAAGAGAAUUAAAAUUGUUUCCCCUAUUUUUUUAUUUGUUUGCUUUGGUGGCUUUGUGACCAAAAAAAUUGUUUUAAUCCAAAUAGCCACAAUAAAUAAAUAAGCAAAUGAAUAAAAUUCCCAGGUCAUUUGAGAGAAAAGAUUAACUGAAAAGGUAAAGCAUCUCCCCCUUUUUAGUUUCAGUUAAUUAUAGUGUCAGGAUGACUUUUUAACUUACCUGGCAAUCUGGAACCUCAUAGAGUCACUUGCGUUUUCAAAAUUUCCAUGUGAAAACAUGAUUGUGCCAAGUACUCCCUAUUAACUUUUAGACAUCAUCUAUAAAAUCACUACAGGAAAAUAUGGAAAUAUCUGAGAGAUACACAGUGGAUCGCCUCAGAAUAAAUCGUUCCCCAAAUCAUUUUAUGACUGCCUGAGUCGGGACUCAUGGGUCAGAGUAGAGUCAUAGUUAAGGUUUGCAACUGGCUUAGUAGCAAGAGGGGAUAAACAAACUAUCCAGGCUGUUGAACUGUCCAGUUUCGCUACAACUGUAUUUACUUGUUGGGAUCAACUGUUUUCUUUCCUAUUAAGGUAUUAGUAGCCACUGAUAAUGGAAGCCAGGGCCCGCUAGAAAUAGACCAGAGGAAAUUUCCUGACUCACUUGCAUAACAACAGUUCAUCAGCACUGAAGAUAUAUGAAGUGUGACUGCAGAGUAAUGGGAGUGAUUAGGUUUCUCUGCACAACAAAACUCUUACAUACAAAUGAGCACUGUCCCCUUCAGGACAGUCCUCAGGGAACCCGUAUGCUUAUUCCGGUGUGUGAUUGGUCUGGAAGCAUUUUUGGAUGCCCUCUGGACAGAAAGUGCUUUUGGACACUGUUAGUGGUGACAAAGUGUGUCCUUUGAGGAUGGAUUAGAUUGUUGGAAAUGAUACAAUGUAUUCACAGUAUACAUCUGUUGUUUUUGUCUACCCAGAAGCCUCUGUCCAAACUUGUGGUUGGAGAGGCUGUAUUUCUUCUGUCGUUCAUUCUGUCUUUGAAGGCUCUCGAGGAGAAAAUAGCUUUUAAUAUCUCUUGGGAAAUGGCCACAUUUUCCCCUGGCAAUUGAACCCAUGGCUUUCUUGAAUGACUACUCCUCAACCAGGUCUAAGUUGUUUAGGUAGGCUGACUUGACCACCAGUUCCAGAGCACAGACAUGUGACGAGCCUGGCCAUAGUCAUUGAUUCAGGGAUGGACACAUGACUGAAACGGCAUGCUGGCAUUUAGUUCUGGUACUUGGAUUUUAACUGUUGGGAGGAGAAUUUCUCACUCUGCUAUGAUAUAAGCAUGAAGCUACUGGCUUCCACUUGCUGCUACAAAGAGCCUGCUUAAAAAUGGAGCCAACAUAAAAGGAAGCAGAUUUAAGACCUGAGCGAUGAGAGCGUGCACAUGUGUGUAUAUCCACAUAAUGAGACUAAGUCUUGAUUUCUGCACCUUGAUCCAGAUAUACCUGGAGCAGAAACUCUGCUGGGACUCUUUUGUAUCAUGAGCCAGUAACCUCCCUAUUUGCCUAGUAGGUUGAUUUGGGCUUCAAUCUUGCAACCAAGUGAGUCCUGACUAAACCAGCAGAAUGGAGCCAGGUAAGGUUCUUUCUCAAGAAGAGAAGAAGGAAGGUAUCAAGACGUUUAUGACAAAUUUCUACUCAACACUGAGCACCUGCUAAGUGCUGGGCCUAAUAGUCGAGAUGCUGCAAUGAACUAGUCCAUUCAGGAUGCUGAGGUGUUUCAGCCUAGAAGAGACUGCUUUUCUUCCUUUGCUCAUGCAGACUCAGGGGGCCAUUCUCAAGGAGGAGUUAGUGACAGGAAUGUCUUUGGCAAAGACAGCACUCUUGAGUGUGGUCAGAACAUGUUAUUUAUUUCCCAAGAUGAUUAGUUUUUGAAGAAGACAACAAAUAGUUGAGGCUAUGAAUUCUAUCUCUGUAAAAAUAGAGUUAUGUUUUCCUCCUGUAGUCAGAUCUCCUGUGGAACGUGAGUAAACAGGAAUUUCUAUGUAUGGAGCAAGGACAGUAUGGUUAGCACAUAAUACAUGUGUUUAUUUCAGAGCUGGGGAGGACUCCUGACCAGCGUGACACCUAACAUUGGAGUGAAGGGGCAGCAGAUGUGACUUGUUCCUCCUUGCCUUCCACCGUGAUUGUGAGACCUCUCCAGCCACGUGAAACGGAAUGGGAAAUACUCUUCUCCUACCACCAACUUGGCCACUCUCCAGUGACGAGGUUUCAGAAGCAGUGCAUUUUCAAGUUUCUGCCUCAGAAGAGAUCCAGUUUGGCAUUCUGUCUAAGUUCACUGCACAGAGACGGGUUUGGCUCUGUGAUUCAUCAGAAAUAAGAAAAACAAACACUGUAAAUGGAGAACUUGAAAAAGAGGUGGGCACCAUCUCCCCACCCAAGAGAAUGGAUUUAAGAGGAAAUUUGUUUAUGGGAUGAAGUUUUAAAAGGCGACCUGGAAAAUUUAGCAAAGAUGUAAAUAAACAACUCUUCCUUGGAUUGCAUUAGGCUUCAGAAUAAAUAUAUUAACCAGCUUCAGUCAAAGUCUGCCUAGAAUCUGACCCUGACAAGACCCAGUGACUAGUGCUGCUCCGAACCUUCCCCACCAACAGCAGGCAAUUUUCUCUGUGGCAAAGCUACCUCGAAACAGGCAUCCAGGCUUCCCUCCCACGAAGUGAAGAUGAGAAAACUGAGUCUCAGAAUGGACAAGCUCACAGAUGGCAAGUGGUAGAGCAGACUUCACACAUAGGUCAGCAUUGAGGCUUUCCCAGUUAACUGAUGAAGACAUCCAGCAACAUGGAACACCUUGGUUAUUUAACCCUUGACCCUCUCCAGCAGAAAUUCCUGAUUAGCUUCAGCCUGGACAGUCUCAUCACACCUCCCUGAACACAUGUUGCUUAUUUGUUAUCUGUACCUUGGUUCAAGUUCUCCCUCCUAUUUUGAGUGUUGUGUCCUUUCCCUCCCUUCCUUCUAUCCAGCUUACUCCCACACUUCAGGGGAAAUGACACCUCCUCCAUUGUGUCUUACUCACUGGCUCCUACCCACAUGUACCUCCUUUUCUGAACUCUUAUUCCAUGAGUGGCCCUAUGUCUUAGCACUUAAUCUCCUAUAAACCAUGCUAAUAAAAUGGAUGUGGUGCUCCUGGCUAAAUGUAUCCAGUCAGACUUGGCUGUACUUCCUUCUGGCCAGAGGAAUGAAAUGCCUUGUGGUAACAAUUCAUCUUACAGAAUACAGUUUUCUGUUAUUUAACUCACAGCAGACUGGGAUUCUAGAGGGCAGCAACUCUGGCUCAUUCUUCUCUGUAGCCUCCUUGGUAUCCAGCACAGGCUGGAUACUCACCUAGAAGCAGUCAUUGAAUUCAUUUGGAAUCUAAGAAACCUCGACAUAGUCUAAACAGCUUUAGUGCAAUUGAAUGAACAUGUAGAAAGUAAGUGAAGUCACUGUGAUCCACAGCGUGGUCAGGACUUAAUUCUGGAAUAGGAGGUUUCACGGAUAGACCACCAUGGUGUUCAAACAACAUGGGUGUAUUGGUGGCAACCAUGUCUCAGCUGGGGAUGGCAAAGUGGGUAGAGAGAGAUGAAGCCUGGUGAGGGUAGAAAUGUGGUUGCUGGCUGCCUACUCACUUGGGUUGUACCUUCACAAGAACUAGUGCUUAGGAAACUCCUGAACAGGGAUAAUAAGUCUGUUUGUCUUGGAUGCCAACACGAAUUGAUUUAUGUUGACUGCCUGAAGCACUCUGUUGAAAAGAAUUGAAAAAUACCAUAUGGGAUCAGUGGAACAGAACGCCAUAAUUAACCUGCAAUGUGGCAUUGGCAUGUCUAUGUGCUGACCCUGACCUUGAUGCUAUGAAGUAAUAGAAAAAUCCAAGACGGGUCUCUGCCCACGGAGAUUUACAAUCCGACUGGGGAAAUAAUAUAUUCAUCAUAUAAUUAGUGAACAAAAUAUUAGAGUGCUAAAUUGUGGAACAGAGAUGAUGUUAAAGUGACAUGUAAAAUGUAAAAUUUAUGGCAGAAUAAUCAAAUAAAUGCAAGGGGAAGAGUAGAUGAAUGUGGGCUGAAAAGGUCAGGAAAAAUUUGUGUAGGAAAAAGGCCUAAGCUGAGCCCUUCUCAGAGGAAUGAGGUUGAGGGAGGGAUGGGUGAAGGGAGAGAAAUAAUGAUACUCCCAUUGAGGAACUGUGUAGGGAGCAAUAGGAAAGAGUGCCAGUAGGAAGGGAUAUGAUUUGACAAGAGACAGGGUGAGAGGACUUAGCUUCUUUUAAUAACUGGAUGUGAACCCCAUUGCCCUGAUGUCCCAGCUUUACCCAAGCAGGAGAGAAGGGUAGGAACAGAGUCCCUUGUCCUUUGCCCUUGCCAAAGGUGCUGUGCUGCCUGUGGUGGCUCCAUCCAUGAAGAGGUGGAGCCACAAGGAAGGGCCCAGAUCCCCAGAGAGAAUGUGUGGUUGCUCUUGUGUAUCUGGGUGAGCCCAAGGUAGAACAUUUCUCUGAGAGGGGCCUGGACAGAAAAACCCACUAGAAGUGGGUAGGAGAUGAUUAAGCAAAAGAGUGUUCCUUCUGCAGCCUGGAAGGAGAUGAAGCCCCUUCAGAGAAGGACAUCAGUAAUUGGACACCCAGAGGGCAUCAUACUCAACAUUCAGGGCUUAUCAUUUGUGUAUAUAUACAUAAAAUUGUAUUUUUAUUUUCACAGAUUGGACACAAUGAGGAUGCCAAUAAGCAUAUAUGAUCUAUGUUUUCAUAGGGAAAGUUUGAGAUGUAGAGAGUUUAAAUGCUUUAUGGAUUACAGGGUUUGUUAUAGAAGAGUCCUCAAAUACAGGCAUGAGUUCAUUACACAAUAAAAUAUGCACUGAAUCUUGUCUCUCCACUUUUUA